RNAcentral lists this long non-coding RNA (702 nucleotides) under Brachypodium distachyon (stiff brome). RNAcentral describes it as "long non-coding RNA (BDIS_LNC002489)". Lineage: Eukaryota; Viridiplantae; Streptophyta; Magnoliopsida; Poales; Poaceae. The record is from RNAcentral.
CAAAGAUGCGACAAGUAAUUGUCCAGUGUGUCCAUACAUGUGCUAGAUGUGCUAGAUAGAUGCGUCUACAUAUAUUGAUCAUCUCGAUAUCCGACGGAUACGGUAUUGCUAAUAUCAGAUGGAUGUGGAUUAUCCUCCAUUUUUUCGGAUUGUACGAAAUCCUUAAUUAAAAUUACUAGAUGAUGCCUCGCGCGUUGAUGCGGAAACAUGUUUAAAACAAACGUAUAAAAAAUGCUUAAAAUUAACUAAAACUAAUGAGAAAGUAUGUAAAAUAUUCUUAUUUUACAUUUUAAAACAUAAGAAGUAUGUGACAAAGUGGAGUAUAAAAAGAAAAAUACUAUUUUCCAAAAAAGAAAACUUGAUUGAAUUGAUGAGGUGGCAUGGUUUGAAUUGAUAAAAUAUUACAAAAAUUUAAAUGAAUACAUGCAUUGCUUAAAAAAAAUACACGCAUGACUUGAUGAGGUGGCAUGCAUGAUUUGCAUGUGGUGAGCCUGAUGAGGUGGCAUAGUUGCAUGUUGAGAGAAAUCAUGUAGUGGGGUCUCUUAUUUAUAUAUAGAAGAUAAUUUGCAUAUGGUGAGCCUAAUGAGGUGGUGAAAGGGCAUUUUCCUCCCUAAGUGUUUUGGUGUUAAUAACAACAUGACUCAUGGACUAACAGUGUGCUCGAGUGUUUCAGAUUUGAGAUCAAAUAGCACAAGACGGUUC